RNAcentral lists this long non-coding RNA (575 nucleotides) under Homo sapiens (human). RNAcentral describes it as "HSALNT0308512". Lineage: Eukaryota; Metazoa; Chordata; Mammalia; Primates; Hominidae. The record is from RNAcentral.
AGCCGCUGCAAAUCUUAUCCUUCCUCCCUCCAGGUUUUCUUCAGUGUCGAAAUUGGUAUGGAGACGUGGAUGGAGAUUUGAGUCUUAGGAAUUUGGGAAGAGCUCAAGUGAUUCAGAAUGAAAAGACCUUGGCACAGACCUGUUAAGGAAGCUCCAUAUAAGGUGAAGAAAACAACAUGCUCAGCCAUGUCCUUGCCUUCUGCACACGGUAGUGCAUUCACUGCCUGAGAAUUCAAGGCUAAAACAAAAAGAGGAGCUUUUGUUCCAACAGAUAAGUACUUACCUUUUUCAAAAAAUGCAUAAGCUGUCCUGGGUGUUUAGCAGUUAUUCGCACAGCUUUCCAAAGACUCACAGCAUUUAAAAGCUAACUCUACAGAGAUUCAACAGCUUCUUCCAGAUCCCACCACAGUGGAAAAGAACUCCGGUGUCCUGGCUCCCUGUCCAGCUCUUCUCUCUCCCCUUCCAGCUGCCAGUUCAGCUUUAAGAAGUUCAUUCUCCACAUUCAGAUGCAGGCAAAUGCGUUUGACUUGAGCAUAUUGAUUUCAGGCAGGUGAGAGUGGAUGUAGCGAUUCAGC